Molecule: ribosomal RNA, 254 nt
Filed under: uncultured bacterium
Lineage: Bacteria
Description: partial 16S ribosomal RNA
Rfam family: Bacterial small subunit ribosomal RNA
Source: RNAcentral
UACGUAGGGGGCAAGCGUUGUCCGGAAUCAUUGGGCGUAAAGAGCUCGUAGGCGGUUCAGUAAGUCAGGUGUGAAAGCUCCGAGCUCAACUCGGAGAGGCCACUUGAUACUGCUGUGACUAGAAUCCAGUAGGGGAGCGUGGAACUCCUGGUGUAGCGGUGAAAUGCGCAGAUAUCAGGAAGAACACCAGCGGCGAAGGCGGCGCUCUGGGCUGGAAUUGACGCUGAGGAGCGAAAGUGUGGGUAGCAAACAGG